Molecule: ribosomal RNA, 254 nt
Filed under: uncultured bacterium
Lineage: Bacteria
Description: partial 16S ribosomal RNA
Rfam family: Bacterial small subunit ribosomal RNA
Source: RNAcentral
UACGGGGGGAGCAAGCGUUGUUCGGAUUUACUGGGCGUAAAGGGCGCGUAGGGGGCCAGCACAAGUCAGUUGUGAAAUCUCCGAGCUUAACUCGGAACGGUCAACUGAUACUGUGCGGCUAGAGUGCAGAAGGGGCAACUGGAAUUCUUGGUGUAGCGGUGAAAUGCGUAGAUAUCAAGAGGAACACCUGCGGCGAAGGCGGGUUGCUGGGCUGACACUGACGCUGAGGCGCGAAAGCUAGGGGAGCAAACAGG